GAUGAAGAACGUAGCGAAAUACGAUAAGUAAUGUGAAUUGCAGAAUUCAGUGAAUCAUCGAAUCUUUGAACGCACAUUGCGCCCGCGAGUAUUCUCGCGGGCAUGCCUGUCCGAGCGUCAUUUCAACCCUCAGGGCCCGCCUGCUUCGGCAGGCGCGGCGCUGGUGUUGGGGAUCGGCCUAACCGCCGCCCCCCAAAUACAGUGGCGGUCUCGCUGCAGCCUCCCCUGCGUAGUAGCAACACUCGCAUGCGGAGCGCGGCGCGGCCACGCCGUAAAACCCCCGACUUUCUGAACGUUGACCUCGGAUCAGGUAGGAAUACCCGCUGAACUUAAGCAUAUCAAUAAGCGGAGGA
This 353-nucleotide unclassified non-coding RNA is filed under the name soil metagenome. Its description in RNAcentral is "partial contains 5.8S ribosomal RNA, internal transcribed spacer 2, and large subunit ribosomal RNA". The stretch from base 1 to 120 matches the Rfam family "5.8S ribosomal RNA", at positions 35 to 154 of the family's 154-position model. The record is from RNAcentral.